CCAUGGUAGCCGUAUCGGAAGGUGCGGCUGGAUCACCUCCUUUUGAGCAUGACGUCAUCGUCCUGUCGGGCGUCCUCACAAAUUACCUGCAUUCAGAGAUGCGUAUCGGCACAGGCCGAUAUGCGAAAGUCCCAUCAUGGGGCUUAGCUCAGCUGGGAGAGCACUGCUUUGCAAGCAGGGGGUCGUCGGUUCGAUCCCGACAGGCUCCACCAUUUGAGUGAAACGACUUUGGGUCUGUAGCUCAGGUGGUUAGAGCGCACCCCUGAUAAGGGUGAGGUCGGUGGUUCGAGUCCUCCCAGACCCACCACUCUGAAUGUAGUGCACACUUAAGAAUUUAUAUGGCUCAGCGUUGAGGCUGGGACAUGUUCUUUUAUAACUUGUGACGUAGCGAGCGUUUGAGAUAUCUAUCUAAACGUGUCGUUGAGGCUAAGGCGGGGACUUCGAGUCCCUAAAUAAUUGAGUCGUAUGUUCGCGUUGGUGGCUUUGUACCCCACACAACACGGCAUAUGACCCUGAGGCAACUUGGGGUUAUAUGGUCAAGCGAAUAAGCGCACACGGUGGAUGCCUAGGCGGUCAGAGGCGAUGAAGGACGUGGUAGCCUGCGAAAAGUGUCGGGGAGCUGGCAACAAGCUUUGAUCCGGCAAUAUCCGAAUGGGGAAACCCACUGCUUCGGCAGUAUCCUGCAGUGAAUUCAUAGCUGCUGGAAGCGAACCCGGUGAACUGAAAUAUCUAAGUAACCGGAGGAAAAGAAAUCAACCGAGAUUCCCUAAGUAGUGACGAGCGAACGGGGAGCAGCCCUUAAGCUGGAAUGGCUUUAGAAAAACAAUCUGGAAAGAUUGGCCAUAGAAGGUGAUAGCCCUGUAUUUAAAAGGGCCACUCCAGUGAAGACGAGUAGGGCGGGGCACGUGAAACCUCUGUCUGAAUAUGGGGGGACCAUCCUCCAAGGCUAAAUACUCCUGACCGACCGAUAGACAUGCC
This 978-nucleotide small RNA is filed under the name Xanthomonas axonopodis pv. poinsettiicola. RNAcentral describes it as "bacterial LSU rRNA". The stretch from base 535 to 978 matches the Rfam family "Bacterial large subunit ribosomal RNA", at positions 1 to 497 of the family's 2925-position model. The record is from RNAcentral. Lineage: Bacteria; Pseudomonadati; Pseudomonadota; Gammaproteobacteria; Lysobacterales; Lysobacteraceae.